RNAcentral lists this long non-coding RNA (2721 nucleotides) under Nicotiana benthamiana. Its description in RNAcentral is "long non-coding RNA (NBEN_LNC029056)". The record is from RNAcentral. Lineage: Eukaryota; Viridiplantae; Streptophyta; Magnoliopsida; Solanales; Solanaceae.
GACCGUGGAUUUUGGAUGAUCGGGAAGUGUUGGAACUAUGUAGCUUUUUCUAUAUAACUGUCUGAAACACUUAUUCCCCCCUACCUCCGUCGUCUCUUUCAGAGAUUCCCACCCCCGAAACCCUAGCCCCAACCGCCUCCUUUUCCCCAUCUGAAACUGGCGGUUCCAUCACCAAACCACACCUAAAUCACACCUUGGCAUCGUCUCAUCCUUAUCAAGCCAAAUCCACAUCUCUUCUCUUCCGAAUCAGCCUCAAAAGCUUUGAAUCUAGAUUUGAAGUCGAAGAACCCUAGCUGCAGCCGUUGAAUUCUAGUGGCGGCGCCGCCUUUUCUUCCCAUCCAAAUGAACACCAGGUGACCGUGUUACUUCCCUCGUGGUAAAUUCCACGCCAAGAAGACCUCAUGAAUCUCAGUACAGCAUUGGGGGUCCUUUGGAUUUAGAGUUCAUUCGGGCCGGCCUUUUGAAAACUUUCAAGGUCAAGUGCUUUUGUAGUGAGUAUUCUAGUUAAUUCAUCUGUUUUCUGUUUCUUUUUCAUCCGCCUUAAUUAGUGAGGUCAUUUUGCAUGCCAAGUUUUUAAUUUGAUCAAUUUGUAGUUUAAUUCCCGGAUAUUUUAAUUGAUAGAUUAAUUUCGAUAGAGUUUCGUCUCGUUACUUUUAGCAAAUUCUGAGUCGAGUUCUUCUCUUCUUAACUCAAAGAUUCAAUAGAGUUUCUUCUCUUUACUGUUCCCAGCUCACCUUGAAAAUUUUUGUUUCUUGUUAUGUGAAUCUAUGUUUCUGUGAGUUUAAGUUUAAUUUGAUUAAGUUUCAGUCAUUAUUGGCAGUUUGAUUAGAUUCAAAGAUUGGAUAUAGCUGAUUGAUCAUUGUUAAUUAACUUUAGUUAAGUUCUAGUUAGAGUAAGGGAGGCUGGGAUCAGUUAACCAUGGUUUGUAAUUUUCAAAUUAGUAGAAGGGUAAUUUGGGGAUAGAAAGGGUAGUAUUUGGAAUAAUGGUAAUUUUUAAAACAAGAAUGGUAGCUUAGGAAUUGUACAGCUAAAAGGGCAUCCUAGAAGCUCCUAAAAUAGGACUAUAGUGUAGAUUUCAGUAAAACUAGGGCAGUAACUUGAGGAACAAGUUAGAAGAUUAGGAGUUAAAGUGAAAAAUAAUCAGGGACUAAAAGAAAAAACCAAAGUCUGACCCUUUACCCUAGUGUUGCCUAUAAAAAGGCAUCUAAUGCCUUGUGAAAGGGGUCCUAUUCUUUCAGCCAUAAUUAGCUCCCAAAAUACUCUUGUUAUUCUAAUUCUUCUAGAUCUAAAGUAGAUAUCAAAUUCAAAGGAAAAAAAAAAAAAAUGAAAACAGUACUGUUCCAUUAGAAUUUUUGCGAUUCAAAUUCGAGGUUGAGGUCUAUUGGAGUUGUUGGAAAGUUGUUUCUGUUGCUGAACGUAUUCUAGAUAGCCUGGGUUCAAUUGUGAGUUUAUUUGGGUGGAUUCAAGUGCUUUUCCUGAUCCUGUCCUCCCUUGAACUUUUCUGGGCUGUCAAAUGCAUUUUUGGGUUAAAAUUCAGCUGUUGGUAUUCAAAUCUGUUUAACCGUUCGAUUGAUAUCACUAUUGCAUUGCUGUGGCUGACUAUUUCCUCUUUUCCUUGUGACUUUGAACUCAGGUACACAUUUGUUCGUCAUUGGCUUUGAAAUGAAAUGAAGUGUGGAUCGAGGCCUUUCUGCUACAUUCACUGUUUUAAUUGCUGACUGUUGUAUAGUCAACCACGUUUAAUUGUCAGAUUUGUUUGAGUUCAAUCAAAACUAUGUCUAAUUGAUACAAACCGCCUAGAAAGUGGACUGCGAUGACUUGAUUGUAUUAGUUUUGGACUGUUAAGUCAGUUUUUAGCUGGCAACCUUAAUUUGGUUUAGUUAGUGUUAUGAGUAGAGCAAUAGGCAAAGUAGUAUAGUUCAAUUGUUCUCUCAGCAAUUGUGAGGUUAACUCUUGUUGUGUAUUAGUUUUAAUAGUCCAAUGCUUACUUGAGUGUUAAUCAAACAAUGCUAAUUUGAACUAGCCUCCAAAAAGUCAGUAUGUUAAUGAAAUAAUAACGAAGCAUUAUUGUUGAUUGCUAAAGUCAAGCUCUAUUUCUAACUAGGCUGUUAACUGAUUAGGCUUAUGGGCUCAACAGUAUAAGUAAUCACUUGUAUAUUUGAAUGGUCUAACAAGGAUUUUAAAGUAAGUCAUUGUCAAACGUAGAUUGAUUUAUUUUCUUCAAAAAAUGAAACUCAUUCUCUGGUUGCCUCAAAAUUAGUUCGUAUGCUUUGGGAUUGAGUGGGCAAUCGGGAUUUGCUUUUGAGUGCUACAUUUUGCAUCUGUUGAGACUCGAUCAAUGUUUGUUUCCUUCAUAUUUGGAUCUAAGACCUCCGUAUCUCUGCUGUCCAGUACAAAGUUUUGGGCUCUUUAAGGCCCACGAUAUGAUUGCCUUCCAUUUUGUUAAUAAUAUUUGGGGUCCUGGUGUGAAUUGAUAGCCAAAUCCCUUAACAUGUGUUUGGAAAUUGGGCUAGGGCCCAACAUUACAGGAAUUGGGUUUUGCUUUGCGUGUCAUUUGUUUGUUGUUCCCAGGACUAAAUGAACCCUGAUUCAUUAUUUCUUGUGAGUGACACGUUCGGGCCUCGAAGUUAGGUAGCGAGUUUUAAACUAUCGUCUUUUUGUUUGGACCCGGACUUGAACUCGGAGCCCGAUUUUUUUUAUAAUAAUCGAUUAGGAUUUUUU